AGAUUGAACGCUAGCGGGGAUGCUUUACACAUGCAAGUCGAACGGCAGCGCGGACUUCGGUCUGGCGGCGAGUGGCGAACGGGUGAGUAAUAUAUCGGAACGUGCCCAGUAGCGGGGGGAUAACUACGCGAAAGCGUGGCUAAUACCGCAUACGCCCUACGGGGGAAAGGGGGGGAGUUCUUCGGAACCUCUCACUAUUGGAGCGGCCGAUAUCAGAUCAGCUAGUUGGUGAGGUAAAAGGCUCACCAAAGGCGACGAUCUGUAGCUGGUUUGAGAGGACGACCAGCCACACUGGGACUGAGACACGGCCCAGACUCCUACGGGAGGCAGCAGUGGGGGAAUUUUGGACAAUGGGGG
Molecule: ribosomal RNA, 357 nt
Filed under: uncultured soil bacterium
Lineage: Bacteria
Description: partial 16S ribosomal RNA
Rfam family: Bacterial small subunit ribosomal RNA
Source: RNAcentral